Long non-coding RNA from Raphanus sativus (radish), 1421 nucleotides. RefSeq lists it as uncharacterized. Lineage: Eukaryota; Viridiplantae; Streptophyta; Magnoliopsida; Brassicales; Brassicaceae. The record is from RefSeq and is a predicted model, not a curated record. The transcript has 4 exons.
AUCGGCUCUGUGCAAUCGAACAAAAACUCACAAACAUGUCUUUUCCUCUUCCUCACCUUCGCCAGUUUUCUACGUUUCUCCAGUCAAUCUAAGCCAUAAAUUGUAUUGCUUUUAACUAUUAGGAUCUCUACUUACAUAAACGUUUGACGUCCUUCAUUAUCCACUCCACCUCUCUCCUUAAUUGUGUGUAGUAAGAAAAUCAAUCUGAUGCGGAGAGACAGCCAUUGAUGUGAGCCACCUCAAAAUCUCAGAUCAAGUACUGAUAUGGAUCAGAAUACUCUUAACUCCAUGCUUUGUUUGAUUGCUUCCUAACGGAUCAAAUCUGAAGAAUUUCGAGGUAUUUCAAGAGAACCAUGUCAGUCGGCUUCCUUAGUAUCUCGGAUCCUUCUUCUUCCCUGGAAAAUUGAAGCCUUUUGAAAUGUUUGAAAAAUCUUCUUAAUCAUCGAAAUUUUUGAGAAGCUACGAAAACGGCGGAGGUUAGGUCCGACAAACUGCAUUUCCGUAGAGUUAAGGAAGAUGAUGAUGAAGUCUUUGUGUUCCGGUGAACAAAUAAGACUUUAAGAUGAAGAAGACAACGAAUCCUAGGUUGGUGUAAGCAGAGGCUACAAUGAUAGCACUUUUGAGAAGAAUUGAGUAUCUGAAAGGAAAACAUAGAAUGCGGUAUGAAUGCAGGCUUGCUCCUCCUCCAUGGACUAACUUGCUGCGUUAUUUUGCUUUUAUGAAAAUCUCUCCAACGUCUUAGAAGGUUCCAAGGUGAUACAUAGGUGCAGGAGACGCUAACCAAAGUAGUUGAGCUCCUUCCCUAAAUGUGGAUACUGCUGAUUCGUCGCGUGAUACUACUUUGUCUUAUAGACGACCGCUUCUCAAACACAGGAAGCUUGAAUGUUGAUGAUUUGAGGGUGGCUUGAGUGUUAUGGUGAUAUGAUAUAUAUAUAUAUAAAUUUACAAUAUUUGCUGACUGAUUAAGCGUUUGUAAACUCUUUAGCAGGGAAAAGAUGAUGAGCCCAAAGACAAUAUGCCUGGAGCCAGCUAACUUUCCUCAGCUUCUUCUAAGCUAGGCAACAACAAUGUGAAGGACACACCGAGAGUUACAGAAUCUGCACUGGGGAACCUGCCUGAGGUGGAUGGCUUCAUAUCCGAGAAUCCAAAGCUCAAGACAAUUGAGCCUGCUGCUAAGAAGGCCCGUACGGGUAUAUGAAUAUGGAAGCCUUUUCUAUGACGUUGUUGUCGAUUAUUUAAUCAAAUAAUGCUUUGGUGUUUUGCCAUUCUAAAACUCUUACGUAUGCUGGUUGAGUUCUUUGCACUAAUAAUAGAAGAAUAAUUAAUAAUCUGUAUUUGUAAGAACUGUUUUGGUUUUGCUCUCUUUAAAGUGGAGAACAAACGUAGAACCCAAAAAGUAUCCAUUUCAUAACUUUUUUUAA